Molecule: long non-coding RNA, 906 nt
Organism: Mastomys coucha (southern multimammate mouse)
Lineage: Eukaryota; Metazoa; Chordata; Mammalia; Rodentia; Muridae
Exons: 3
Source: RefSeq, a predicted model, not a curated record
CAGAAGGAUCAUUACAUGAAGGAACAGGAGGAAAGAGAUGCUGUCCACAGGGGUUGGUUGGUUGGAUACAUAAAUCUCACUGACCUCACAGAGCUUACUGACCUCACAGAGCUCGCAGAGCUCUGAAGAUUCAAAGUUAAAGUAGGAGCAUAGUGUCUACCUGACCUUAACUGGUUGGCACCAUACCCAAUUUCUAGGUCCAGCCCAGCUUGUAUAUCCUCAUGGGGCCCCAGGCAGUUGAUUACUGUUGAGAGAGUUAGUGUUUCCCAUGGAUGGGCUCCCUAAUUGGUUAUCUAGUGUAGAGUCUGGCCAGCAGAUUUACUUGGGUCGUGGGAAACUUUGAACUGGAGGUUGGACCAGACCUGUGGGAAUAAACCAGUCGAGAACAAAAGACAGAUGCCAAGUAAAUGUAUCAAAGCGUGCUUUACUUGGGGUGAAAUGGGUUUUUAUAUCCAGGCAGCAAAGUGGAACCACAAUACCUAAACAUAGUAUAUGCAUAACGUAAAUACAACAGCAGACAUAUAGAGGCUGGGUUCUCAGUGGUAUCACAUCGCAGGCAACCAGUCUGUUUAAGGCAUCUAGCAAUGCAAGCCUUUGGGCAUAGAAGAGGAUUUACAUCUAAGAACCAAAAGGGUAGAACAAGAUAGGAGAAAUCUGACCUCAUCCAGGAUAAAAGGAAAACUAAACAGAUAUCUACAUUUCUACGCACUCCAGUGGACUUAUCUUAAUGAACGCACCAGAGAGACAAGGAGAUGUGAAGUAAUUCAAAUCAUUGGGUCCUGUUGAGAUGAUUUAGAUGAGACUGCAACAGAGGGUACCUCGAGCUGGCCUUCAAAGGAGGAAAGCAAACCUUACAGGGAAAAAGAUGGAAGAAUAAAAAUGAAGGAGAUAAGAUAAUUUAACCAA